GGCCGCGGCGCAAGUUAGGAACGAGUAAAACUUGGCGGGGAAGGUGCUCCUCCGCUGCUGGGGGCUCUCUGGGGCGGCAGUGCGCUCCACUGUCAAAGGCCGCUUUCCUGAGGUCAAAAUCUCUUCCCUAUUUGUACAGGAUAUACUCCAAUGCAAAAUUAUAGAAGGACAAUUCAAGCAGCCAACUGAAGGAAAUACGAAACUGAAUGGAACAAACUUUCACUAGGGGUCUAAUCCUGAAAGUUGCUUAAUAUGCUCUGACUGGAUUACAACUAGCAUUCUAGAAACAAAAUGUUUGUUGCGAUCUGCAGACAUUGCCCCUAGGAUGGCAAAAGAUAAAUAUCAUUACUGAAGUAGGAUCCUGCUCUUCUGAUGUGAAACGAACUGAUGUAAACUGUUCUUUAUGACAUGCAAUAAAAGGCCUGUGGUUACUAACGACAGAGCUAGAAGAGCAAGCGUGAAGCUGAUCACUGACUCUCUGGGAAUAAGCCCAAAGGCAUCAAAGGGGUAGAAAACCAGAGAAAAACCCAUGAAGACGUUCAUGAACUCACUAGAGGAAGCAAGGUGAAAGCAGCACAAGCAGCACUGAGGAAAGAUCUUUUAUGCACCUGUUUCAACAUCUUGGCAUCCCCUUUAUGCUCUCUCUCCCUCAUCUAAUUGACCCAGGAACAAAGAAGCUUCACAGAAAACACCUUCCAACUGCAUACAUGAGAAAUUCAGGAGAAUCCAAGCCAAGUUCGUCUCUCACCGAUACUCACCGGUACAUUCCUCGUCUGGAUUAAAGGUUCAUGAUACAACAAAUAGCAAACUGAAAUCUGGUGCAUGAUCCAGAAGCCAUACCUCCAUUACCCAGGGAGUUCAGAUAGUUCCUCUUCCCUGGAAUAAAUGCUGCUGAACUCCUACACUCACUCAGCAGGGCUUUUGCCCUCUGUCUCUGGCCAUGGUCAUAGAAUCACAGAAUGGUCUGGGUUGGAAGGGACCUUAAAGAUCAUCCAGUUCCAACACCUCU
Molecule: long non-coding RNA, 1009 nt
Organism: Pezoporus occidentalis (night parrot)
Lineage: Eukaryota; Metazoa; Chordata; Aves; Psittaciformes; Psittacidae
Exons: 5
Source: RefSeq, a predicted model, not a curated record